AGCAGCCGCGGUAAUUCCAGCUCCAAUAGCGUAUAUUAAAGUUGUUGCGGUUAAAAAGCUCGUAGUUGAAUUUCGGGAUUUAUCCGUCGGUCGGGCUUUUGGGUCUGUACUGGCGUGAUGAAUUCCUACCUUCUGAAUAACCGGCAUGUCAUUAAUUUGGUGCGCUGGGGAAGCAGGACUGUUACCUUGAAAAAUUAGAGUGCUUAAAGCAGGCUAUUGCCUGAAUACAUUAGCAUGGAAUAAUGAAAUAGGACGGCAUGGUUCUAUUUUGUUGGUUUCUAGGAUCACCGUAAUGAUUAAUAGGGAUAGUUGGGGGCAUUAGUAUUCAAUUGUCAGAGGUGAAAUUCUUGGAUUUAUUGAAGACUAACUUCUGCGAAAGCAUUUGCCAAGGAUGUUUUCAUUAAUCAAGAACGAAAGUUAGGGGAUCGAAGACGAUCAGAUACCGUCGUAGUCUUAACCAUAAACUAUGCCGACUAGGGAUCGGACGAUGUUAAUUUUUAAUGUACUCGUUCGCGCCUUA
RNAcentral lists this ribosomal RNA (520 nucleotides) under uncultured Acaulospora. RNAcentral's name for it is "SSU rRNA". It matches the Rfam family "Eukaryotic small subunit ribosomal RNA", at positions 569 to 1090 of the family's 1831-position model. The record is from RNAcentral. Lineage: Eukaryota; Fungi; Glomeromycota; Glomeromycetes; Diversisporales; Acaulosporaceae.